Long non-coding RNA from Nothoprocta perdicaria, 354 nucleotides. RefSeq lists it as uncharacterized. NCBI's taxonomy places the organism in Eukaryota, Metazoa, Chordata, Aves, Tinamiformes, Tinamidae. The transcript has 3 exons. The record is from RefSeq and is a predicted model, not a curated record.
AGAACAGAACUGCAUGUUUACUAGACUAUUAACACAAGAACAACACUUUGGAACUGGCUGCCUCAGCCUUGCCCUGAACUUCCUGCGCAGCACUUACAGUGAUUGAUUUUACAGAUACUUGCCUGCAAAUUUCAGAUGGAUUCUGCUGAAUGCUAGAUGUCAAAGAUGUCAAUGGGACAGCCUGCUUGUUUGCCUCCUUGAGCAUCUUUGUUAUUUGCUGAGUUUUGGCUGUAGGGCCUGUGCUUCCUAUCCAGAAGCUAGAAACUCCUUCCUCCCCGGUGGCUGGAAUCAGAGGACAAGAUGGGCCUCACCUCAGACCUGUUGCCUGCCUCAGGGGCUGGAAGCUUGGGAGCU